This 498-nucleotide ribosomal RNA is filed under the name uncultured bacterium. RNAcentral describes it as "partial 16S ribosomal RNA". It matches the Rfam family "Bacterial small subunit ribosomal RNA", at positions 30 to 523 of the family's 1533-position model. The record is from RNAcentral.
AUUGAACGCUGGCGGCAUGCCUUACACAUGCAAGUCGAACGGUAACAGGUCUUCGGAUGCUGACGAGUGGCGAACGGGUGAGUAAUACAUCGGAACGUGCCUAGUAGUGGGGGAUAACUACUCGAAAGAGUGGCUAAUACCGCAUGAGAUCUACGGAUGAAAGCAGGGGAUCGCAAGACCUUGUGCUACUAGAGCGGCCGAUGGCAGAUUAGUUAGUUGGUGGGAUAAAAGCUUACCAAGCCGACGAUCUGUAGCUGGUCUGAGAGGACGAUCAGCCACGCUGGGACUGAGACACGGCCCAGACCCCUACGGGAGGCAGCAGUGGGGAAUUUUGGACAAUGGGCGCAAGCCUGAUCCAGCAAUGCCGCGUGCAGGAUGAAGGCCUUCGGGUUGUAAACUGCUUUUGUACGGAACGAAAAGCCCUGGGUUAAUACCCUGGGGUCAUGACGGUACCGUAAGAAUAAGCACCGGCUAACUACGUGCCAGCAGCCGCAGUAA